GAUGAACGCUAGCGGCAGGCUUAACACAUGCAAGUCGAGGGGUAUUGGUUUUCGGACCAAGAGACCGGCGCACGGGUGCGUAACGCGUAUGCAAUCUACCUUUUGCAGAGGGAUAGCCCAGAGAAAUUUGGAUUAAUACCUCAUAGUAUAGUACUUUGGCAUCAAGGAACUAUUAAAGUCACAACGGCAAAGAAUGAGCAUGCGUCCACUUAGCUAGUUGGUAAGGUAACGGCUUACCAAGGCUACGAUGGGUAGGGGUUCGUGAGAGGGAGGAUCCCCACACUGGUACUGAGACACGGACCAGACUCCUACGGAGGCAGCAGUGAGGAAUAUUGGACGAAUAGGGCGGC
This 350-nucleotide ribosomal RNA is filed under the name uncultured bacterium. Its description in RNAcentral is "bacterial SSU rRNA". It matches the Rfam family "Bacterial small subunit ribosomal RNA", at positions 28 to 381 of the family's 1533-position model. The record is from RNAcentral.